Molecule: long non-coding RNA, 317 nt
Filed under: Homo sapiens (human)
Lineage: Eukaryota; Metazoa; Chordata; Mammalia; Primates; Hominidae
Description: HSALNT0043240
Source: RNAcentral
CUUUGAGAAAGGGGGGCUUUAGGGGCUACGGGGACCACUCUCCUUGUGCAGCUGCGCGGUCCUGAGCGAGUGGCGCGAAAAUGGAAGCCGACUUGUUUACUUGUGGUUUUCAAAGUAGAAGAAAAGCCGCAGCAGCUUGAUGAAGACGUCUAUAGUAUAGUUAACCUUUAACGAUUAUCUGUUGGGGAUUGAAACUAAAGAUUGAACAAUUGUGGCUUGAUGAUCUUCUCUGUCUUCAGAAUUGAGAACUACCCUGAGUCAGUGCGAACGAGAAAACUUUUCAUUGCCCUUUUAACCAAACUUGGCAUUACAACGAA